RNAcentral lists this ribosomal RNA (329 nucleotides) under uncultured eukaryote. Its description in RNAcentral is "partial 18S ribosomal RNA". It matches the Rfam family "Eukaryotic small subunit ribosomal RNA", at positions 1470 to 1796 of the family's 1831-position model. The record is from RNAcentral.
CCCUUAGAUGUCCUGGGCCGCACGCGCGCUACACUGAGUGUCUGAGAUACGAGUCUGCCUGGUCCGGCAAGGUCUAGGUAAUCGCUAAAAGACACAUCAUGCUUGGGAUAGAUUAUUGCAAAUAUUAAUCUUGAACGAGGAAUUCCUAGUAAGCGCAAGUCAACAGCUUGCGUUGAUUACGUCCCUGCCCUUUGUACACACCGCCCGUCGCUACUACUGAUUGGAUGUUUAAGCGAGGUUCUCGAACUGCUAGCGACUUAGCUUCGGUGAGGUCGCAGUGUGGGAAGUGAACCUAGCUUGGGGGUCGAGAGGAAGGUGAAGGCGUAACA